CAGCACAGGCUGAGGGAGCAGCAGCGUGGGAACAGAGCUACACAGACAUGAAGCAGUCCCUUUUGGGGGGCGGAGGGAAGAGCUGGUGAAAAGAAGACAAAACGAGAGAGAGGAAGGCACAAGCUUCCUGGUGCCCAUUCAGUAGCACACCUGGGAGUGUGAUCCUGGAGCGCCCGUGCCAGAAAGGCAUUUAGGAUCAUCUACCAAUGCUCAUCAUACAGGUCAGCACAACGUCUUGCCUGCAGCAGCGACACUCAUGGCUGAUGAACGCCUGACUGCAAGGGACACAGCGGGGGACCGAGGCGGGUGAAGCACCGGCAGCCAGGUGAAAUCGCGCACCCUCUAGCAGCCAACUUCCCAUAAAAGGCAAUAAUGCUUUUGAACUGAAAUAUCAUCAAGCAGACAUUAUCGAAGAGCUGGAAGUGGUAUGCAGUAGAUCGGCAGAUGUCGCGCGUGGAUCCCUACUCAUCCCAUCAGGAAAGAGAGGCUGGAAAAUAAUAAAGCCUAAAGAUAUUGGUCACAUUCAUCUUCCCGAUGAAGUUGCUGAAAAUCAAUCAAUAGGUUUUGAGGCUAAGGGCUGCUAAAAAAAUAACAGCUUGCAUUAUAAGGAGUUUAUAUUAAGCUUUCUGAUCACAGUUAAAUAUCUGUAAACAUUCCUAUUUCACAACAACUGAAAUAAGCAUAUACAUAAGAAUAAAGAAAAAUACAUUUUCAUUCCUUACAUAACAAAUGGAAUAAAUAGGAGAAGCUUACAGAGAAUCCAAGAACUGUUAAAAAUUAUUAAGAAAUAAAGAUGGAUAGUGCUGCUUAUCUUUAUACCACUUAGAAUUAUCAUAUGAUUUAAUAGUUUCCUAUUCCUGCUAACUGGUUUUUAUGCAUGGGUUCUGUAUCAGGCAUAUUUAUCAAAACAAUAUUUAUCAACCUAUGUCUUCUAUAUAUUUUAGCCCAUUAAAGUCCAACAAACAAGCUGCAAAUACUGUAAAUCUUUCCACUCUGGCUGGUAGCAAUGUAAACUGUUCCCAGCCCUACUGCUGGGAAUGAUUCAACCCAUUGCUUUCUUUCCUGGCCUUAUAGAAUUUUGCCGCAUACCUGCGCAGACAAGUGGACUGCUCUGCAGAUACCUAGAGCAUUCUCAAUCUCUCCAUUCCACAUCUCCCCACUCACAAUCUGCCCUACAAAUUCUAGCCAGUCUCACCUCCUUCUCAUCUCUGCUCCUCAGUUCAGUGGGGCUACUGGGCUCUGUUUCAGUUCUCCUUCCCGCUCCGUGGCCUGGAAAUGGCUUCAGACAGUGUAGAAAAUCAGAGGGCUCCUCUUAAUUAUUUCUCUUCUCUCAUGUUCACAGUCUAUGCUACCUGCUGUCCACUGUCUGAAAAUAGUUGUUCCUGCUGUUUGAAUUUCUAGCUUUUAUUACAAGAGGGAAAUUCUUGUUGCAGUUAAACCUUCAUGGGAAGAGGUAUAAGUCAAUAAUUUUAUCCUUCGUACUUCCCCAAGAAGGAUAAAAACUAUCUCCAAGGUCAAUUUAAAUGAUGUUAUGGUCAUGUUAAAGACACACACACACCAGAAACAACAAUAAUCCUUGUCUUUUAGAAAUUCUAUUAAAAUAUUCAUGGACUAAGUGAUAUAAUUUCUGAAAUUUGUUUCAGAAGUAUGAGUGAGGGUGAAAUUCCAUGAGAAUAGACACUGGUCAUGAAUUGGUAAUUAUUGAAAUUGGGUGAGGAAUACUACCUACUUUUUAUGUUUGAA
Long non-coding RNA from Mustela lutreola (European mink), 1743 nucleotides. RefSeq lists it as uncharacterized. NCBI's taxonomy places the organism in Eukaryota, Metazoa, Chordata, Mammalia, Carnivora, Mustelidae. The record is from RefSeq and is a predicted model, not a curated record. The transcript has 4 exons.